GGGUUGUGAGGUUAAGCGACUAAGCGUACACGGUGGAUGCCCUGGCAGUCAGAGGCGAUGAAGGGCGUGCUAAUCUGCGAUAAGCGCCGGUAAGGUGAUAUGAACCGUUAUAACCGGCGAUACCCGAAUGGGGAAACCCAGUGUGAUUCGUCACACUAUCAUUAACUGAAUCCAUAGGUUAAUGAGGCGAACCGGGGGAACUGAAACAUCUAAGUACCCCGAGGAAAAGAAAUCAACCGAGAUUCCCCCAGUAGCGGCGAGCGAACGGGGAGGAGCCCAGAGCCUGAAUCAGCAUGUGUGUUAGUGGAAGCGUCUGGAAAGGCGCGCGAUACAGGGUGACAGCCCCGUACACAAAAGCGCAUGUGCUGUGAGCUCGAUGAGUAGGGCGGGACACGUGGUAUCCUGUCUGAAUAUGGGGGGACCAUCCUCCAAGGCUAAAUACUCCUGACUGACCGAUAGUGAACCAGUACCGUGAGGGAAAGGCGAAAAGAACCCCGGCGAGGGGAGUGAAAAAGAACCUGAAACCGUGUACGUACAAGCAGUGGGAGCACCCUUUGG
RNAcentral lists this ribosomal RNA (558 nucleotides) under Salmonella enterica. RNAcentral describes it as "partial 23S ribosomal RNA". It matches the Rfam family "Bacterial large subunit ribosomal RNA", at positions 1 to 591 of the family's 2925-position model. Lineage: Bacteria; Pseudomonadati; Pseudomonadota; Gammaproteobacteria; Enterobacterales; Enterobacteriaceae. The record is from RNAcentral. RNAcentral also lists the same sequence under 1 other name.